AAAAACAAAUGCUCUGUAAGGCUACACGUUUAUUAUUGAUACUUUUUAUUACUCCUUUCUAUUCCGGCCCCUCCUAUUCAUUUUCAAAUCAAUGCAUGGUUGCUUUUAAACAACACUGUUGAUUAAGAUCAAUGUAGCAAACCUUGUGCCUGAUAUUACAUGAGAUAAAAGGUUUUAUCCCAUAUGAUGGAUAUUGGCAUAACUCUUUAACUGUAUGUGACCGGCUGUGCAUUUGAUUUGUUGAACACUGAUCUAUACUGGCUGUGUGUGAGUAUGUAUGUAGUUUGCUGUCUCUGAUCCAGCCCCUUCAUUGACCAUUCGAAGCUUUCUCUUGGUGCAUCGCAGUGGAUAACACAGGGGGGUAGAACAUGUCCUCACUAAAACACAGGGAUAGAGAACAAACUCUUCCCCUGUAUCCUGUCAUGAGGUACACUGUCAGCUGAGAUCUACCUGAGUACAUGUGAUUGUGAUCUAGAUACAUCUUGCUGAAAGGAAUCCUUCUGCUGUGACUGCUUUUCUUUUAAUUCUAACUUUUAGCUUGUGUAUCAGUCCUUUUAGUUAUGGCAAAAUACUUGGGGAAUGAGACAUCAUUGGAAUCUUGCACUUACUAACAAUAUAUAGUCUAAAUGCGUUAUUUUGUAUUUCCUUUCUAAAGAGAAUGAAAUGCUAAUCUUGGGUCAAUCUCCUCCGCAGGCUCCUUGAUGCUGGAAACCUGGGUCCUUGCUGUCAUCAAACAUAGGUUGGUUACGGAGUGCGGAACCUCAAAUUUGUUUUCUGAAAAUAAAGUAGCUGAGGCAGAAAGGAGCAGAAAUCAUCAGUGCUUGGGUAAAAGUCAUCUUGUGAUAUAACAAAAUUAUUUGUGCUGAACUGGGUUGUCAGUCUGCACCUUUAAGUAAACCUACUUGUACAGUUUUUUCUUUGCCAUAAUCGGAGCCCAUAUCCCUGAGUUACAUGAAGAGACCUGGAGGAAAGGAAAAAAAUGUGAAUUCAAAAUAUGCAGACAAUUCUUAAAAUGAACUUGUCUGUAUCCAUUAGUCAAGUGUGCUUAUUAUGUAAUCAUACCUGACUUCAAAACAUUUCCAACUUAAAUGACGAUCUAAUAAUUACUUGGGAAUUUUCACCCAACAGAGGUCUGAGGUUUGCUUGUCAGGUAAGUCGCACCUAAAGAACUCUUGCCUUCAUAAAUGGCUUGUGACAUCCUGGGCUCAUUUAUAAACACUGGCCAAAUUUGUACCUGGGCAGCAAACAAUUGGUGAUUAGCUUUUUUUUUUCAGCCAGCUGCAGGUUGAACACUGAAUGUUUGCUAUGAGUUACUACUAGGUGCAAAUUUGGACAGUGUUUAUAAAUAACCCCACUGAGAUUUUACCAGUUUCACUCAUUUCAGACAGUAGAAUUUAAUAUGGUAGAUUUGACCUUAAAAUGUGAAUUUUCGGGCAGCAAUCUGCCUGAGAGAUUGGCCUAUGAACUAGGAAUCUAGAUUUGCAUAAGUACAGUAUUUAUAGAAUAAUGUAAUACCCAGUAGAAGGUUAAUUGAAAUCUCUCAAUAAAUGUUUAAUGUAGGUAGUUUGGAUGAUUUUCCCUUUCAAAAGCCAGUAUUUGUACUAUUUGCAGCCGUUCUACUGCUUACAUGGCUUUGUACAUUAGGAAAAGUAGAUUGUAAGCUCCAUUGGAGCAGGAAUUAAAUUGUUGCCAAUCUUUGUAAAGUAUUUUUACUAUGCAAUUGUAGAAAUAAUUGUACAUGCUAACAGCUUUUAUUUAUAAAGUGUGAAAUGUAUUAACAUGUUAAUAAAGCAUUUUAACAAA
Long non-coding RNA from Xenopus laevis (African clawed frog), 1803 nucleotides. RefSeq lists it as uncharacterized. The transcript is spliced from 2 exons. The record is from RefSeq and is a predicted model, not a curated record. Lineage: Eukaryota; Metazoa; Chordata; Amphibia; Anura; Pipidae.